RNAcentral lists this long non-coding RNA (587 nucleotides) under Felis catus (domestic cat). Its description in RNAcentral is "lncRNA (ENSFCAG00000051207.1)". Lineage: Eukaryota; Metazoa; Chordata; Mammalia; Carnivora; Felidae. The record is from RNAcentral.
CAUAGUCUGAGUUAUAGAUUGCCUCUGCUCCUUCCACAUCAGCUUCUGUAAAUGCUUAUGUUAAAUCUCACCAAAUUUGCAAUCUUAUUUACUUAGUACAUAUGUCUUUUCACAUUUAUUUUUAGGGCCUCGUGUCAGUACUUCAGAAUCUGCCUUCAAAUGGAUAGAAGCCUAAAUAUAUUUAACUUCUUUAAAUGCUGCAGCUACUUGAUGAAAGAUACGAAAAAGAGAAUGGAAUAGAUGAAAGGAAGGAGGAGACAAGGACGAGAGCAUAAGGCUCAGAUUUAUAGGUAGAAACCAUCUUAUUCAAUCUCCUUAUUUACAAGUCAGAAAACCGAGGUCUGAAGAUGUCACAGAAUGUGCCCAAUUUCAAAAAGGUAACAUAAUGGUAGAAUCAGGACACAACUCAAGUCUCUUGAAUCUCAAACCAUUGCCCACACUAUCUUCUCUGAUGAACUAUUUCACACAUCGAGCUUUCUGUGGAAAGUGAUCUAGAUUGUCACUCUACUUUUUAGAAACAGGUUUCUCAUAGAAAUUUCAGCGUCUCCUUAUUCGAGAUAUAUUCUGGCAGACUGUGCUUUCCAAAG